This 1363-nucleotide long non-coding RNA is filed under the name Callithrix jacchus (white-tufted-ear marmoset). RNAcentral describes it as "lncRNA (ENSCJAG00000067788.2)". Lineage: Eukaryota; Metazoa; Chordata; Mammalia; Primates; Cebidae. The record is from RNAcentral.
GGGCUUUUCAGCUAGGUUUGGCUCACCGUCCCCCUCCUCCCAGGCCCAAGCUUGGUCCCCAAUGUCCCCAGCAAUGCUUGGGACGUCCCUCACUUCGCUCCUUUUUUGGGGGGCCACUGCCCACCCCUAGGUUGCCUGCUGUCCCUCCUAGAGAGAGGUGGAUGGCCGUCACAUUCCACGGAGAACAAAGGGAUGAGUGAGGGGGCAAAGACGCCCUUCUAAAGUUUCACCCCGGAAAGGCAUCCCACUCCGCCGGCGAGGCGCCCUCAGGCUACAGCCUUCGGGGAGCCUCCUCCCUUCGCCCCGCCCCUCUGCACAGGGGACUGGCGGUGCGGCCGGCGCUCUCUGAUUGGCGUCCGCCUCAGGGUUCCCGUCGGCACCAGCGUGUGCCAAGUGGGGAACAGGUUGGGAGUUGCUGGAAGUGGAGGCGGGGGAGCGGCCACUGGCAGUGAGCGCGGGCGGCGGCUGGGCGCAAAGUAGAGAGCAGUCCGUAGUUUAAGCCUUUCCGUCGCCCUCCGGCACUGCCAGUACCACGGACUCCACCCUGCCGCGGCCCCUCGGUGACGCGUGCAGCUGCCACUCGACCAGAUUGUGUUUAUGUCAGGACGUUGCCUGAAAUAAAACUGAAGCUUCAUAGUUUAGCCUUUAAUUGUGUUUUAUAGUUUAGCAGUUAUGAAUUCAGUUAAUCUAGUACCUCUGAUUUCACAAGGGAGUAUAAUAACCCUUUUCUCAGUUCAUAGGAAUUUUGUAUAGUUGGUUAAGUCAGAGAUCAAAAUGAGACAAACACUUAUUCAUGUGCAUUUUCCUGGAGUUUAUUGGUGAUCCCAAGUCUCCAGCCUGGAAGGGCUACCUCCUCACGGUGCUGAUGUUCUCUCGGCCUGCCUGCAGACGCUGUUUAAGCAGCAGAACACGUACUGGCUCAAGGUGCUGAAGAUAAGGCUGUAGUAUGCCAUCACUGGCCUGGUGUACAGAAAGGAGAGCAAACGAGGCAGAAGGACUUGUGGGCUCAAUUCACCAGCUCUAUCCUCAGGAACUCGAGGACCAUCAAGUUCCAUGGCUGGGAGGGAGCCUUUCUGGACAGAAUCCUGGGCAUCCGAGGCCAGGAGCUGCGUACCUUGUGGACCUCUGGCCUCCUCUUCUUUAUGUCGCUGGUGUCCUUCCAAGCAUCUACAUUUCUGGUCAUGUCACUCUAGUCUCUAUGCUGAGCAGGACUGGGGAAGGAGUGUGGAACUCAGAAGGUGAGGUAGGUGGAGCCUCCCUGAUCCUACCACCCUGUCCAUCAAAACCCACACAUUCUGGAUCCUAUUCUCUCAGGGUUUCUGCUAUCUUCUGUGUGAAUGAAUUAAUCACAUCAUUCUGGUGA